GACAAUCGGUUAGCUUUCUAUGCAGUCGAGCGGGCCCUUCGGGGUCAGCGGCAGACGGGUGAGUAACGCGUGGGAACGUACCAUUUGCUACGGAAUAACUCAGGGAAACUUGUGCUAAUACCGUAUGAGCCCCCCUUUAAAAUUUCAUGAAUCAUAAAAUGCCCUGGCAUUUUAUGGGGGGGAAAGAUUUAUCGGCAAAUGAUCGGCCCGCGUUGGAUUAGCUAGUUGGUGGGGUAAAGGCCUACCAAGGCGACAAUCCAUAGCUGGUCUGAGAGGAUGAUCAGCCACACUGGGACUGAGACACGGCCCAGACUCCUACGGGAGGCAGCAGUGGGGAAUAUUGGACAAUGGGCGCAAGCCUGAUCCAGCCAUGCCGCGUGAGUGAUGAAGGCCCUAGGGUUGUAAAGCUCUUUCACCGGUGAAGAUAAUGACGGUAACCGGAGAAGAAGCCCCGGCUAACUUCAUGCCAGCAGCCGCGGUAAUACGAAGGGGGCUAGCGUUGUUCGGAUUUACUGGGCGUAAAGCGCACGUAGGCGGGCUAAUAAGUCAGGGGUGAAAUCCCGGGGCUCAACCCCGGAACUGCCUUUGAUACUGUUAGUCUUGAGUAUGGUAGAGGUGAGUGGAAUUCCGAGUGUAGAGGUGAAAUUCCUAGAUAUUCGGAGGAACACCAGUGGCGAAGGCAGCUCACUGGACCAUUACUGACGCUGAGGUGCGAAAGCGUGGGGAGCAGACAGGAUUAGAUACCCUGGUAGUCCACUCCGUAAACGAUGAAUGUUAGCCGUUGGGGAGUUUACUCUUCGGUGGCGCAGCUAACGCAUUAAACAUUCCGCCUGGGGAGUACGGUCGCAAGAUUAGAACUCAAAUGAAUUGACGGGGGCCCGCACAAGCAGUGGAGCAUGUGGUUUAAUUCGGAGCGACGCGCAGAACCUUUUCAGCCCUUGACAUCCCGAUCGCGGUUAGUGGAGACACUAUCCUUCACUUCGGCUGGAUCGUAGACAGGUGCUGCAUGACUGUCGUCAGCUCGUGUCUUGAGAUGUUGGGUUAAGUUCCGCAAUCUAGCGCAACUCUCCGCCUUUAAUUGCCAGCAUUCAGUUGGGCACUCUAAAGGGACUGCUGGCGAUUAGCGGAAGGGCAUGGUGGGAAUGUACGUCAGUUCCUCAUGGCCCGUACGGCUGGGCUACUAAUGGGCUUACAUUGAUGGUGACGUGGCAGGAAGGCACCCAGGUGGGACCAAGUCCUCAAAGUCAUAUUCCGUUCGAAAUGGCACUCUGCACUUCCCAGGCUUGAGUUGCCAUGCCUGGUAAAUACGGCAUACAGUUGCCAGAGGGUACUUA
This 1334-nucleotide ribosomal RNA is filed under the name bacterium Chen4. RNAcentral describes it as "partial 16S ribosomal RNA". It matches the Rfam family "Bacterial small subunit ribosomal RNA", at positions 35 to 1372 of the family's 1533-position model. The record is from RNAcentral.